GAGUUCCGAUACGAUCACCGAAGUUAAGCAACGUCGAGCCCGGUCAGUACCUAGAUGGGUGACCACUUGGGAAUACAAAAUGCUGUAA
This 88-nucleotide ribosomal RNA is filed under the name Acanthosepion pharaonis. The record is from RNAcentral. Lineage: Eukaryota; Metazoa; Mollusca; Cephalopoda; Sepiida; Sepiidae.